This is a non-coding RNA of Punica granatum (pomegranate), 1614 nucleotides long. The record is from RefSeq and is a predicted model, not a curated record. NCBI's taxonomy places the organism in Eukaryota, Viridiplantae, Streptophyta, Magnoliopsida, Myrtales, Lythraceae.
AAAUUUUGCAAAUAAAAUGCCGUACGAAUAAAUGAAUUGAAAAAAAAACAAAACAAUAAAAAACAAAAAUAGGUGGCAGGAUUGUCGAGCUCAACUCUCCAAGUGGGCCAACGCCCCUAUGCCCCCUCUCGCUGUUCUUUCCUUCCCCUCUCUCUGUCUUUCUUCUUCUUUUUCUCUCUUCUUCUUAUUCUUUUUUCCUUCUUAUUCCCGACCCUGCAAACCUCAUCCCGUGCCCAUCCCUUGCCUCUGCUCCAUCUCAUCCACAUGCAGACCAAAACAUCAUCUCCUUCCUUUUCUUCUGCUGCUCCUUUUCCUUCUUCAAGGCAACUAGCUCACACACACACACACGCUCUCUCUCAGUCUCGGCAGAACGACAGCGACAAUUUCCUCUCUCAUCCUCACCCUUCCUCUCUCUCUCUCUCUAUCUCAGGCUCCCGAAAAAGCAGCAGCAGUUUCCUCUCUUCCCACGCUCAGCCUUCUCUGAUUUUCCUCACCAUCACAGACCUGCCUUUCCUUCCUUUUUCCAUCAUCGUCAUCUCCUUCAUUUUCAUCACAACCUCCCUCUUCAUUCCCUACCACAGAGAGUAGAAAAAAAACAAACCAUCCUCUUGCCGAUCUCUCCCUCUCUCUCUCUCUCGGCUCCACGACAGAAAUUUACACGCACACACACAAAGCCCUUCCAUCACAGCCAUCCUCCUCCUUUUUCAUCUUCUGCCACCAUCACCAGCACCUUCACUGCCUUCCUCAUUUUCCCGCCAGCUAUCAUCACCAUCAUCUCGUCUCUUCUGCUGCCUCUUCCUUUGCCUUGCUGCUUUAUUUGCUGCUCUAUUUGCUGCUCAGUUGCUGCUCUGUUUGCUGCUUUGUUGCCGCUUCCCCAUUACUGAGCUUCUGCUGCUUCGUUGCAAGUCCCUUCGAGCUCCCCGAGCUUAGUGCUGCUGUGCUGGUUCGUUGCUUCCUGCUGCCACCCGCAGCUCACUGAGCUGCUGCUCGCUCCCAGCCCCCACCGAGCUGAGCAGCUGCUAGGCUGCUGCCCUUACUCCUCAAGACACAGAGCUGUUGCCGUUCCCUUCUCGAGCCGUCGCCGAGUUGUUGUUGUAGCUCUUUUCCAGCUCCUGGAGUCAUCGCUGGCACUACCCGCUGCUAUGCUGCCCUCCUACUCUCCUUCCUACUGCUGUUGCUGCCUCUCUCGAGACCCUAGGCUGCUGCCACUGCUCCUCUGCCGCUUCUGGUUUGCAGCUAUCCCGUUCCGAGGCUACUGAGUUGCUGUCCUUCGGCCUCGAGCUCCUCGAGCUACUCUGCUAGCCGCUGCUAUCGUGCCGUCCUUCCUCGACCUCUCGAGGUUACCAUGCCACUGCCUGCUCCUUCCUCGAACUCCUAAGCUGUUGUCAUGCCUUUGCUGCCACUGCAGUGCCCUUUGGGCAGCCCACAACAAGCUCAUUUCAAGUAGUUUUCGAAGCCGCACGGAGCUCCUCUCGACACUAGCUCGAGAGAUGUUCAAUCCUGAACCUAGUGGCAUGUUUAGGGCUCUAACUUUCGCUUGAUCUGUCGAUUGCGUGGAUGACAUCAUUAUAUGAAUGUUUUAACAGAAAAUAGCACAAAUCGGUUUAGUGAUUA